Molecule: non-coding RNA, 26 nt
Filed under: Homo sapiens (human)
Lineage: Eukaryota; Metazoa; Chordata; Mammalia; Primates; Hominidae
Source: RNAcentral
UUCUGCAACUCAAGAUUCAGGAGAGC